RNAcentral lists this ribosomal RNA (212 nucleotides) under uncultured bacterium. RNAcentral's name for it is "partial 16S ribosomal RNA". It matches the Rfam family "Bacterial small subunit ribosomal RNA", at positions 524 to 733 of the family's 1533-position model. The record is from RNAcentral.
UACGUAGGGUGCAAGCGUUGUCCGGAAUUAUUGGGCGUAAAGAGCUCGUAGGCGGUUUGUUGCGUCGGCUGUGAAAUCCCGAGGCUCAACCUCGGGUCUGCAGUCGAUACGAGCAAACUAGAGUGUUGCAGGGGAGACUGGAAUUCCUGGUGUAGCGGUGAAAUGCGCAGAUAUCGAGGAGGAACACCGGUGGCGAAGGCGGGUCUCGUGGG